Long non-coding RNA from Photinus pyralis (common eastern firefly), 928 nucleotides. RefSeq lists it as uncharacterized. The transcript has 3 exons. The record is from RefSeq and is a predicted model, not a curated record. Lineage: Eukaryota; Metazoa; Arthropoda; Insecta; Coleoptera; Lampyridae.
AUACGAUUUUCGAGGAUUUUGUUUCAUUGCGUAAGGAGCCAAUCUUUUAUGACGAAUAAAUUAGUGCAGUGUUUUCCUCACAGUUUCAAAGGCCUCGCCGAUAGUAUACUUGCAAAACAAAAUUUGAUUAAUAUUAAUAACAUUAAUUAUAUUUGCGCAAACUUCUACGCAAUUCAAAAUCUUCCAUCAUUUCCUCUCCAUUGCACAAAAGGAACAUCUCGCCGCGUCUCUACUCAAUAGGAACUGCAGUGAGCUAGUAUUGACAUUUAGAAAAUGAAUGCGGUACGGACCUGCACAACAUAAUUUUAAUAUUGGUAGCACCCUUAGUUCAGUUUGGAUUUGAUCGCGAGUGGUCAUGUAGAAACAUAAUUGUUUAUAAUUAUAUAUUUACAUUUUCUAUAUAUGUAUGUACAUAUGUAUAUUUUUCGUCAAUUUAUUAUUAUGAUAAUUUUUUGUGCACGAAAAUAGCUAAACAUGAAGUGCACUUACCACGUAAUGAGCGUGUAUAUUGUGUGCGUUAUUUUAACAAAACCAUCAGGGGAAUGGUCCUAGGAUUAAAAAUUAAUUUUCUCUCAUUGUAUUCUAAUCAAAAGUUUCAACGAAACGAACCGUUUUCUACCAAUUCAACAUCAAAGUACGGGGUUUCUGUCUCUUCACAACAUCUUCCGGUAUCUUGCCAAGCUCAUUUAAGGUCGAAGCAUUUUCGGCCAGACUUAUAGCCAGCUCCUACAACUGUCCUUUUAGACAACGCAGGGCAAAUGAGCGGAUCACCCGUGUCUAUAGUUGACACUUGUUCCAGUCAAUUUGCUCCUCCGAAGGGGAAUCGAAGAAGAAUGCACAGAUUUCCAAGGCCACACAGUUGCACACGGGAUGCUGUAUGUACCGGGACCUGCAGUUUGCACAAUGUGCGUUUGCUAUCACUCCGAGC